AGCGAACGCUGGCGGCAGGCUUAACACAUGCAAGUCGAGCGGGCGUAGCAAUACGUCAGCGGCAGACGGGUGAGUAACGCGUGGGAACAUACCUCUUGGUUCGGAACAACACAGGGAAACUUGUGCUAAUACCGGAUAAGCCCUUACGGGGAAAGAUUUAUCGCCGAGAGAUUGGCCCGCGUCUGAUUAGCUAGUUGGUGAGGUAAUGGCUCACCAAGGCGACGAUCAGAGCUGGUCUGAGAGGAUGAUCAGCCACAUUGGGACUGAGACACGGCCCAAACUCCUACGGGAGGCAGCAGUGGGGAAUAUUGGACAAUGGGCGCAAGCCUGAUCCAGCCAUGCCGCGUGAGUGAUGAAGGCCCUAGGGUUGUAAAGCUCUUUUGUGCGGGAAGAUAAUGACGGUACCGCAAGAAUAAGCCCCGGCUAACUUCGUGCCAGCCGCCGCCGUAA
This 450-nucleotide ribosomal RNA is filed under the name uncultured bacterium. Its description in RNAcentral is "bacterial SSU rRNA". It matches the Rfam family "Bacterial small subunit ribosomal RNA", at positions 29 to 523 of the family's 1533-position model. The record is from RNAcentral.